GAUGAACGCUAGCUACAGGCUUAACACAUGCAAGUCGAGGGGCAGCAUGAACUUAGCUUGCUGAGUUUGAUGGCGACCGGCGCACGGGUGAGUAACACGUAUCCAACCUGCCGAUGACUCGGGGAUAGCCUUUCGAAAGAAAGAUUAAUACCCGAUGGCAUAAUUCUUCCGCAUGGUAGAACUAUUAAAGAAUUUCGGUCAUCGAUGGGGAUGCGUUCCAUUAGGUUGUUGGCGGGGUAACGGCCCACCAAGCCUUCGAUGGAUAGGGGUUCUGAGAGGAAGGUCCCCCACAUUGGAACUGAGACACGGUCCAAACUCCUACGGGAGGCAGCAGUGAGGAAUAUUGGUCAAUGGGCGGAAGCCUGAACCAGCCAUGCCGCGUGAAGGACUAAGGCCCUACGGGUCGUAAACUUCUUUAGACGCAGAGCAAUAAGGUCCACGCGUGGACCGAUGAGAGUAUGCGUAGAAUAAGCAUCGGCUAACUCCGUGCCAGCA
This 495-nucleotide ribosomal RNA is filed under the name uncultured bacterium. Its description in RNAcentral is "bacterial SSU rRNA". It matches the Rfam family "Bacterial small subunit ribosomal RNA", at positions 28 to 513 of the family's 1533-position model. The record is from RNAcentral.